Molecule: long non-coding RNA, 448 nt
Organism: Episyrphus balteatus (marmalade hoverfly)
Lineage: Eukaryota; Metazoa; Arthropoda; Insecta; Diptera; Syrphidae
Exons: 3
Source: RefSeq, a predicted model, not a curated record
GAAAAUAUUGUAUUCAGCUACGUUGAAAGCCAUUCAGUUGAGUUGUUUACUUAUAAUUUUCAAGUUUUUUUCAAGGAAAAUUUAAAAUUCACAAGUGCUUAUAAGUUUUAAUCCAACUUGUAUUCAUCAGCGGUAAAAUAAAAUAUUUGGCAUGUUUUUUUUUUCUAGACUUAUCACAUUCUACAUUUGUAAAUACAAAUUUAAAGUGCUUACAACUUUUAAGUCGAAAACAUUGCAUUCAGCUGCGACAAAAAAAAAUCACUUUGUGAGUAUCCUAUCUUAAAAGGAUUUUAUUUUUUUUUUUUCAUUUGGAAUUUUAAGGAUACGAUUUAACAAUGCGCUCGUUCAUGGAGGAGAACGAAAAAAAUGAUCCUCUUAUUAAUGCCCCGGAUAAGAAAAACAAUCCAUGGGCUGAAAAAGGAAAAUGUGUAAUCAUGUAAUAUUACAC